This 305-nucleotide ribosomal RNA is filed under the name uncultured bacterium. RNAcentral describes it as "bacterial SSU rRNA". It matches the Rfam family "Bacterial small subunit ribosomal RNA", at positions 28 to 334 of the family's 1533-position model. The record is from RNAcentral.
GACGAACGCUGGCGGCGUGCUUAACACAUGCAAGUCGAACGGAGUUAAGACUUCGGUUUUAACUUAGUGGCGAACGGGUGAGUAACGCGUGAGGAACCUGCCUCUCAGUGGGGGACAACAGUUGGAAACGACUGCUAAUACCGCAUAAUGUCAUGAAUCGGCAUCGGUUUAUGACCAAAGAUUUAUUGCUGAGAGAUGGCCUCGCGUCUGAUUAGCUAGUUGGUGAGGCAAUAACUUACCAAGGCAAUGAUCAGUAGCUGGUCCGAGAGGAUGAUCAGCCACACUGGGACUGAGACACGGCCCAG